Molecule: ribosomal RNA, 255 nt
Filed under: uncultured bacterium
Lineage: Bacteria
Description: partial 16S ribosomal RNA
Rfam family: Bacterial small subunit ribosomal RNA
Source: RNAcentral
UACGGGGGGGAGCAAGCGUUGUUCGGAUUUACUGGGCGUAAAGGGCGCGUAGGCGGUCAGCACAAGUCAGUUGUGAAAUCUCCGGGCUUAACUCGGAAAGGUCAACUGAUACUGUGCGACUAGAGUGCAGAAGGGGCAACUGGAAUUCUCGGUGUAGCGGUGAAAUGCGUAGAUAUCGAGAGGAACACCGGUGGCGAAGGCGGGUCUCUGGGCCGUAACUGACGCUGAGGAGCGAAAGCGUGGGGAGCGAACAGG